AGUCUUGGCAAUGCGGCAGAAAGUGAUUAUAUUAGAUUUGCUGGAAACAGCUAUGGCGAUAAACGCGAUGCAGAAUAAGCAGAGCGGACCCGGGGGCAGUGCCCGGCGCCUCCACCAUAAUUCCGGAUGUUCUGAAAAACAUUCUUUAUGGGGGCGAGUCAGGAUCGACGCAUGUAGUAAAGGCAAAGUUUUCGCUCGGCAUAGUACCACCGUUAUCGGGCUAUUUUAGUAGUUGCAAACGACAACUAUGCUCCGGUUGCUGUUGCUGCUUAAUCGCGGUUACAAAAACCACUCUUAAACUCCAACAGGUUGAGCCCUGUUGGCGGGGUUUGGAUUGACCUUGCAACAGAAUAAUCCGGCG
Molecule: transfer-messenger RNA, 361 nt
Filed under: Alphaproteobacteria bacterium
Lineage: Bacteria; Pseudomonadati; Pseudomonadota; Alphaproteobacteria
Rfam family: Alphaproteobacteria transfer-messenger RNA
About the family: Bacterial tmRNA, also known as 10Sa RNA or SsrA, is named for its dual tRNA and mRNA-like properties. Its role is to liberate the mRNA from a stalled ribosome.
Source: RNAcentral